RNAcentral lists this ribosomal RNA (253 nucleotides) under uncultured bacterium. RNAcentral describes it as "partial 16S ribosomal RNA". It matches the Rfam family "Bacterial small subunit ribosomal RNA", at positions 524 to 776 of the family's 1533-position model. The record is from RNAcentral.
UACGGGGGGGGCAAGCGUUGUUCGGAAUUACUGGGCGUAAAGGGCUCGUAGGUGGCCAACUAAGUCAGACGUGAAAUCCCUCGGCUUAACCGGGGAACUGCGUCUGAUACUGGAUGGCUUGAGGUUGGGAGAGGGAUGCGGAAUUCCAGGUGUAGCGGUGAAAUGCGUAGAGAUGUGGAGGAACACCGAUGGCGAAGGCAGCCUUCUGGGCCAAUACUGACGCUCAUGCACGAAAGCGUGGGGAGCAAACAGG